UAGUUUGAUUCUGGCUCAGGAUGAACGCUGGCGGCAUGCCUAAUACAUGCAAGUCGAACGGAGUGAAGCCUUCGGGUUUCAUUCAGUGGCGAACGGGUGAGUAAUACGCAGGGAACCUGGCCAUGGCAGGGGGAUACACUCUGGAAACGGAGCAUAAGACCCCAUAGGCAGUAAGGCGGCAUCGCCUUACUGUUAAAGAAAGCUGAAAGGCUUUGGCGAUGGAUGGACCUGCGGUGCAUUAGCUUGUUGGUGAGGCAACGGCUUACCAAGGCGAUGAUGCAUAGCCGGCCUGAGAGGGCGGACGGCCACACUGGGACUGAGACACGGCCCAGACUCCUGCGGGAGGCAGCAGUAGGGAAUUUUCGUCAAUGGGCGCAAGCCUGAACGAGCAAUGCCGCGUGAGUGAGGAAGGUCUUCGGACUGUAAAGCUCUGUUGCCGGGGAAAAAGGGGAAAUGCAGGAAAUGGCAUUUCAUGGAUGGUACCCGGCCAGAAAGCCACGGCUAACUACGUGCCAGCAGCCGCGGUAAUACGUAGGUGGCGAGCGUUAUCCGGAAUGAUUGGGCGUAAAGGGUGCGCAGGCGGUCUGUUAAGUCUGAAGGCAAAGGGAUGAGCUCAACUCAUUUAUGAUUCAGGAACUGGCAGACUUGAGGACAGGAGAGGGCGGUGGAACUCCAUGUGUAGCGGUAAAAUGCGCAGAGAUAUGGAAGAACACCAGUGGCGAAGGCGGCCGCCUGGCCUGUGACUGACGCUGAGGCACGAAAGCGUGGGGAGCAAAUAGGAUUAGAUACCCUAGUAGUCCACGCCGUAAACGAUGAGGAGCAGGUGUUGGGAGUGAAAUCUCAGUGCCGAAGCCAACGCAGUGACUCCUCCGCCUGGGGAGUAUGCACGCAAGUGUGAAACUCAAAGGAAUUGACGGGGGCCCGCACAAGCGGUGGAGUAUGUGGUUUAAUUCGAAGCAACGCGAAGAACCUUACCAGGUUUUGACAUCGGAUGCGAAGGCGCAGAGAUGCGCUGGAGGCUAUCAUCCAGACAGGUGGUGCAUGGUUGUCGUCAGCUCGUGUCGUGAGAUGUUCAGUUAAGUCUGGCAACGAGCGCAACCCCCGUGGUAUGUUACUAACGCAUUUGGGCGAGGACUCAUAUCAGACUGCCGGUGACAAACCGGAGGAAGGCGGGGAUGACGUCAAAUCAUCAUGCCCCUUAUGGCCUGGGCUACACACGUACUACAAUGGCGUCUACAGAGGGAAGCGACCCUGAGAAGGGAAGCGAAACCGGAAAAGGGCGUCCCAGUUCGGAUUGAAGUCUGCAACCCGACUUCAUGAAGAUGGAAUCGCUAGUAAUCGCGGAUCAGCAUGCCGCGGUGAAUACGUUCCCGGGCCUUGUACACACCGCCCGUCAAACCAUGGAAGCCGGCAACGCCCGAAGCCGGUGGCAUAACCUUUUAGGAGUGAGCCGUCGAAGGCGGGGCCGAUGACUGGGGUUAAGUCGUAACAAGGUAUCC
RNAcentral lists this ribosomal RNA (1499 nucleotides) under uncultured bacterium. RNAcentral's name for it is "bacterial SSU rRNA". It matches the Rfam family "Bacterial small subunit ribosomal RNA". The record is from RNAcentral.